AGUGAACGCUGGCGGUAGGCCUAACACAUGCAAGUCGAACGGCAGCACAGUAAGAGCUUGCUCUUACGGGUGGCGAGUGGCGGACGGGUGAGGAAUACAUCGGAAUCUACUUUUUCGUGGGGGAUAACGUAGGGAAACUUACGCUCAUACCGCAUACGACCUACGGGUGAAAGCAGGGGAUCUUCGGACCUUGCGCGAUUGAAUGAGCCGAUGUCGGAUUAGCUAGUUGGCGGGGUAAAGGCCCACCAAGGCGACGAUCCGUAGCUGGUCUGAGAGGAUGAUCAGCCACACUGGAACGUAGCCACGGUCCAGACUCCUACGGGAGGCAGCAGUGGGGAAUAUUGGACAAUGGGGGCAAGCCUGAUCCAGUCAUACCGCGUGGGUGAAGAAGGCCUUCGGGUUGUAAAGCCCUUUUGUUGGGAAAGAAAAGCAGCAGGUUAAGACCCCGCUGUUCUGACGGUACCCAAAGAAGAAGCACCGGCUAACUUCGUG
RNAcentral lists this ribosomal RNA (492 nucleotides) under uncultured bacterium. RNAcentral's name for it is "partial 16S ribosomal RNA". It matches the Rfam family "Bacterial small subunit ribosomal RNA", at positions 29 to 507 of the family's 1533-position model. The record is from RNAcentral.